CGUUUAACCAGAUAUAUUUCUCUUUCAAAUACACUUAAACACGGGUUGUAUGUACGUAUCUUUUCUAGUGUUUUCUUGUCCUUUAAUAUUAAAGUUCAUUUGUUGAUGUUUAAAUAUUUUUGAACGACUGAACACAGGAGUGAAUGAAUGCAACAAUGAUAUAUACUGAAGACUUGGGCUGUACAAUGAUAGUGUACGUAUAUCAUACUGAUAAUUAUUCUAGCAGUAAUUAUGUUAAUUUAGGAUGUAAUGACAGGAAUUCAUGAGCUAUGCCUCAGGCUUUCUGAAAAAAUAUCAAUGACAAUGUAAACAGGAACAAAACAUUGACACGAAUGAUGCUCUCUUCUAUGUUAUAGUUAUUUAGGUAUGUGUGUUGCACAAGUUUCAAAAAAACUUAAGUUAUAAAACUUUUUUUUCAGGGCACAAACCCACUUUAAAGAGACUUGUCUACUGCCAUACCCAUCCUAUUUUCAUGCACCAUUUGCAAGCAAGAGACUGAAUGGUUUGCAAAAUUAAAAAUCAGGACGGUGUCCAAUUAAACCAAAAGAACUAAACUGGAUGAAUAUUGUAGGAGAAAUCUAGAGGAAAGUUUUGAUUUGUGAAAUUGGUUUUCCUGAAAAGUCAUUCAUCCUAGCCUGCAGAAAGGAACUAUAACUAUAACUGUCCACCACCAACUGACGAGCUAAUGUUGAGCUUCACAUAUGGAAUUACUCAAAUACCAUCAAUGUCUAUGUUUUCAGCACAGAUUUCACAAGUUAUGACACAGCUGUGCUUUUUUUUUUAUACCUGUUAAAGAGUUGUAUACUAAAUUUUAUUUUUUUAUCAAUAAAUAUAUCUUGUGUCA
This 844-nucleotide long non-coding RNA is filed under the name Mytilus galloprovincialis (Mediterranean mussel). Lineage: Eukaryota; Metazoa; Mollusca; Bivalvia; Mytilida; Mytilidae. The record is from RNAcentral.